Molecule: transfer RNA, 58 nt
Organism: Ipomoea nil (Japanese morning glory)
Lineage: Eukaryota; Viridiplantae; Streptophyta; Magnoliopsida; Solanales; Convolvulaceae
Rfam family: tRNA
About the family: Transfer RNA (tRNA) molecules are approximately 80 nucleotides in length.
Source: Rfam
GACCGCAUAGCGCAGUGGAUUAGCGCGUUUGACUUCGGAUCAGAAGGUCGUGCGGUCG